This 253-nucleotide ribosomal RNA is filed under the name uncultured bacterium. Its description in RNAcentral is "partial 16S ribosomal RNA". It matches the Rfam family "Bacterial small subunit ribosomal RNA", at positions 524 to 776 of the family's 1533-position model. The record is from RNAcentral.
UACGUAGGGGGCAAGCGUUGUCCGGAAUCAUUGGGCGUAAAGAGCGUGUAGGCGGCCCGGUAAGUCCGCUGUGAAAGUCCAGGGCUCAACCCUGGGAUGCCGGUGGAUACUGUCGGGCUCGAGUCCGGAAGAGGAGUGUGGAAUUCCUGGUGUAGCGGUGAAAUGCGCAGAUAUCAGGAGGAACACCCGUAGCGAAGGCGGCACUCUGGGCCGGAACUGACGCUGAGGAGCGAAAGCGUGGGGAGCGAACAGG